AACGAACGCUGGCGGCAUGCCUAACACAUGCAAGUCGAACGUGAUCCGUGCCUUCGGGUGCGGUGAAAGUGGCGCACGGGUGAGUAACGCGUGGGAACCUGCCCAAUGGUAGGGAAUAACCGCGGGAAACUGCGGCUAAUACCCUAUGAGCCCUACGGGGGAAAGAUUUAUCGCCGUUGGAGGGGCCCGCGUCGGAUUAGGUAGUUGGUGGGGUAAUGGCUCACCAAGCCUUCGAUCCGUAGCUGGUCUGAGAGGAUGAUCAGCCACACUGGGACUGAGACACGGCCCAGACUCCUACGGGAGGCAGCAGUGGGGAAUAUUGGACAAUGGGGGCAACCCUGAUCCAGCAAUGCCGCGUGAGUGAAGAAGGCCUUAGGGUUGUAAAGCUCUUUCGGCGGGGACGAUGAUGACGGUACCCGCAGAAGAAGCCCCGGCUAACUCCGUGCCAGCAGCCGCAGUAA
RNAcentral lists this ribosomal RNA (461 nucleotides) under uncultured bacterium. RNAcentral describes it as "partial 16S ribosomal RNA". It matches the Rfam family "Bacterial small subunit ribosomal RNA", at positions 29 to 523 of the family's 1533-position model. The record is from RNAcentral.